RNAcentral lists this ribosomal RNA (393 nucleotides) under uncultured bacterium. RNAcentral describes it as "partial 16S ribosomal RNA". It matches the Rfam family "Bacterial small subunit ribosomal RNA", at positions 523 to 918 of the family's 1533-position model. The record is from RNAcentral.
CUACGGAGGAUCCGAGCGUUAUCCGGAUUUAUUGGGUUUAAAGGGAGCGUAGGUGGAUUGUUAAGUCAGUUGUGAAAGUUUGCGGCUCAACCGUAAAAUUGCAGUUGAAACUGGCAGUCUUGAGUACAGUAGAGGUGGGCGGAAUUCGUGGUGUAGCGGUGAAAUGCUUAGAUAUCACGAAGAACUCCGAUUGCGAAGGCAGCUCACUAGACUGUUACUGACACUGAUGCUCGAAAGUGUGGGUAUCAAACAGGAUUAGAUACCCUGGUAGUCCACACAGUAAACGAUGAAUACUCGCUGUUUGCGAUAUACAGUAAGCGGCCAAGCGAAAGCAUUAAGUAUUCCACCUGGGGAGUACGCCGGCAACGGUGAAACUCAAAGGAAUUGACGGGG